AUGUGCACUGUAUUCCUUCUUUCUACAAUUGUGCCUGGUACUAUAGGUGUAUUUCGUGUGAAACUGCUCCGAGUCAACAUUAUCCUUAAAAGAUCCAACAUUAGCGAAGCAAUAGAAAUUGUGAUGACCUCAAGCAUACAAUUAAGGGGAUAUUCAUUAUUCAAUAUCAGAAUAGUACAGAACAGUGCAGUAGGUAAUCCUACAAAAUGUUUGCUUAGCACAGCUUCAACGUGGCAUAGUGGAGAGUGCCCCUUCUUUCGAGUUAACCAGUUCAAAUGGAUGCCAUUUUAUAACCUAAUUUGCCUUUUAUUUGAUGGGUGUUGGUUUUAA
RNAcentral lists this ribosomal RNA (330 nucleotides) under Triticum aestivum (bread wheat). RNAcentral's name for it is "partial small subunit ribosomal RNA". Lineage: Eukaryota; Viridiplantae; Streptophyta; Magnoliopsida; Poales; Poaceae. The record is from RNAcentral.